RNAcentral lists this ribosomal RNA (492 nucleotides) under uncultured bacterium. RNAcentral describes it as "partial 16S ribosomal RNA". It matches the Rfam family "Bacterial small subunit ribosomal RNA", at positions 29 to 507 of the family's 1533-position model. The record is from RNAcentral.
AGUGAACGCUGGCGGUAGGCCUAACACAUGCAAGUCGAACGGCAGCACAGUAAGAGCUUGCUCUUACGGGUGGCGAGUGGCGGACGGGUGAGGAAUACAUCGGAAUCUACUUUUUCGUGGGGGAUAACGUAGGGAAACUUACGCUAAUACCGCAUACGACCUACGGGUGAAAGCAGGGGAUCUUCGGACCUUGCGCGAUUGAAUGAGCCGAUGUCGGAUUAGCUAGUUGGCGGGGUAAAGGCCCACCAAGGCGACGAUCCGUAGCUGGUCUGAGAGGAUGAUCAGCCACACUGGAACUGAGAAACGGUCCAGACUCCUAAGGGAGGCAGCAGUGGGGAAUAUUCGACAAUGGGCGCAAGCCUGAUCCGGCCAUACCGCGUGGGUGAAGAAGGCCUUCGGGUUGUAAAGCCCUUUUGUUGGGAAAGAAAAGCAGCAGGUUAAUAACCCGCUGUUCUGACGGUACCCAAAGAAUAAGCACCGGCUAACUUCGUG